GAAAUGCGAUAAGUAGUGUGAAUUGCAGAAUUCAGUGAAUCAUCGAAUCUUUGAACGCACAUUGCGCCCCUCGGUAUUCCGAAGGGCAUGCCUGUUCGAGCGUCAUCUACACCCUCAAGCUCUGCUUGGUGUUGGGCGUCUGUCCCGCCUCCCGCGCGCGGACUCGCCCCAAAUGCAUUGGCGGCUGACCUUGCCUCCCUCCCGCGCAGCACAAUGCGCUUCUCGAGGCGUGGCGGCCCGCGUCCAGCAAGCAACCGUUUACCCGUCUUUGACCUCGGAUCAGGCUGGAAUACCCGCCUAACUUAAGC
RNAcentral lists this unclassified non-coding RNA (308 nucleotides) under plant metagenome. Its description in RNAcentral is "partial contains 5.8S ribosomal RNA, internal transcribed spacer 2, and large subunit ribosomal RNA". The stretch from base 1 to 105 matches the Rfam family "5.8S ribosomal RNA", at positions 50 to 154 of the family's 154-position model. The record is from RNAcentral.